CCUCUGUAACCUGGAGCUGACCGGACUGCCCCGCGAUGGACUGAAGGCCGACGAAGUCAUCUCCCGUUCCGCCACCACUGCGCCCCCUGCUGUGUGAGAAAUGCCGAAAGUUCUGGAAUCUACCGUUUCUCUUUUUUUCACAGGAACCCCGUCCGUCCUUCUCCACUGUGGAAGCUCCUACAUUUGCUGAAUCGCAGUGAAAAAGGAAGUCUUGAUCGAAUAGGAAAGCAGAAGAAAAGGAGCGGCCAAGUUCUCCUUUCGUUUUUUUCCCUUCCUCUGCUUCUGCUGCUGAUUCAGCUCCUUCUUUGGUUCGUGCAAUCUCUUUUCUUCGUUUUCCUUUGCUUGGUGUGAAUGAAUGAAAGAAAGAAGAGGGGAAAUUU
This 380-nucleotide long non-coding RNA is filed under the name Linum usitatissimum (flax). Its description in RNAcentral is "long non-coding RNA (LUSI_LNC001358)". Lineage: Eukaryota; Viridiplantae; Streptophyta; Magnoliopsida; Malpighiales; Linaceae. The record is from RNAcentral.